CUUACUGUUAGGGAAGGACUUGAUGAAUUUUUCUGUGUUUUCAUGAUGCACCCUCUCUCCAUCGGUGAGCAGGUUGAAGUGUCUGGACAUGCACUGGAUGGCGCAGCCCAGCUCGCGGUGCUCGAACUUGAAAUCGUCGCGCCAGAAGUGGAAGAACUCCUCCAUCUUCUCUUCUGUCAGGCCGGACUGU
Cydia fagiglandana is the source of this 190-nucleotide long non-coding RNA. RefSeq lists it as uncharacterized. NCBI's taxonomy places the organism in Eukaryota, Metazoa, Arthropoda, Insecta, Lepidoptera, Tortricidae. The transcript is spliced from 2 exons. The record is from RefSeq and is a predicted model, not a curated record.